UCCCGAUGCUAUUUCUAGAGAUAGAAAGUUACUUCGGUACACCGGUGACAGGUGGUGCAUGGUUGUCGUCAGCUCGUGUCGUGAGAUGUUGGGUUAAGUCCCGCAACGAGCGCAACCCCUAUUGUUAGUUGCCAUCAUUCAGUUUGGGCACUCUAGCGAGACUGCCGGUAAUAAACCGGAGGAAGGUGGGGAUGACGUCAAAUCAUCAUGCCCCUUAUGACCUGGGCUACACACGUGCUACAAUGGUUGGUACAACGAGUUGCGAGUCGGUGACGGCGAGCUAAUCUCUUAAAGCCAAUCUCAGUUCGGAUUGUAGGCUGCAACUCGCCUACAUGAAGUCGGAAUCGCUAGUAAUCGCGGAUCAGCACGCCGCGGUCGAAUACGUUCCGGGCCUU
RNAcentral lists this ribosomal RNA (395 nucleotides) under uncultured Streptococcus sp. Its description in RNAcentral is "bacterial SSU rRNA". It matches the Rfam family "Bacterial small subunit ribosomal RNA", at positions 987 to 1382 of the family's 1533-position model. Lineage: Bacteria; Bacillati; Bacillota; Bacilli; Lactobacillales; Streptococcaceae. The record is from RNAcentral.